This 2904-nucleotide ribosomal RNA is filed under the name Escherichia coli. Its description in RNAcentral is "23S ribosomal RNA". It matches the Rfam family "Bacterial large subunit ribosomal RNA". Lineage: Bacteria; Pseudomonadati; Pseudomonadota; Gammaproteobacteria; Enterobacterales; Enterobacteriaceae. The record is from RNAcentral.
GGUUAAGCGACUAAGCGUACACGGUGGAUGCCCUGGCAGUCAGAGGCGAUGAAGGACGUGCUAAUCUGCGAUAAGCGUCGGUAAGGUGAUAUGAACCGUUAUAACCGGCGAUUUCCGAAUGGGGAAACCCAGUGUGUUUCGACACACUAUCAUUAACUGAAUCCAUAGGUUAAUGAGGCGAACCGGGGGAACUGAAACAUCUAAGUACCCCGAGGAAAAGAAAUCAACCGAGAUUCCCCCAGUAGCGGCGAGCGAACGGGGAGCAGCCCAGAGCCUGAAUCAGUGUGUGUGUUAGUGGAAGCGUCUGGAAAGGCGCGCGAUACAGGGUGACAGCCCCGUACACAAAAAUGCACAUGCUGUGAGCUCGAUGAGUAGGGCGGGACACGUGGUAUCCUGUCUGAAUAUGGGGGGACCAUCCUCCAAGGCUAAAUACUCCUGACUGACCGAUAGUGAACCAGUACCGUGAGGGAAAGGCGAAAAGAACCCCGGCGAGGGGAGUGAAAAAGAACCUGAAACCGUGUACGUACAAGCAGUGGGAGCACGCUUAGGCGUGUGACUGCGUACCUUUUGUAUAAUGGGUCAGCGACUUAUAUUCUGUAGCAAGGUUAACCGAAUAGGGGAGCCGAAGGGAAACCGAGUCUUAACUGGGCGUUAAGUUGCAGGGUAUAGACCCGAAACCCGGUGAUCUAGCCAUGGGCAGGUUGAAGGUUGGGUAACACUAACUGGAGGACCGAACCGACUAAUGUUGAAAAAUUAGCGGAUGACUUGUGGCUGGGGGUGAAAGGCCAAUCAAACCGGGAGAUAGCUGGUUCUCCCCGAAAGCUAUUUAGGUAGCGCCUCGUGAAUUCAUCUCCGGGGGUAGAGCACUGUUUCGGCAAGGGGGUCAUCCCGACUUACCAACCCGAUGCAAACUGCGAAUACCGGAGAAUGUUAUCACGGGAGACACACGGCGGGUGCUAACGUCCGUCGUGAAGAGGGAAACAACCCAGACCGCCAGCUAAGGUCCCAAAGUCAUGGUUAAGUGGGAAACGAUGUGGGAAGGCCCAGACAGCCAGGAUGUUGGCUUAGAAGCAGCCAUCAUUUAAAGAAAGCGUAAUAGCUCACUGGUCGAGUCGGCCUGCGCGGAAGAUGUAACGGGGCUAAACCAUGCACCGAAGCUGCGGCAGCGACGCUUAUGCGUUGUUGGGUAGGGGAGCGUUCUGUAAGCCUGCGAAGGUGUGCUGUGAGGCAUGCUGGAGGUAUCAGAAGUGCGAAUGCUGACAUAAGUAACGAUAAAGCGGGUGAAAAGCCCGCUCGCCGGAAGACCAAGGGUUCCUGUCCAACGUUAAUCGGGGCAGGGUGAGUCGACCCCUAAGGCGAGGCCGAAAGGCGUAGUCGAUGGGAAACAGGUUAAUAUUCCUGUACUUGGUGUUACUGCGAAGGGGGGACGGAGAAGGCUAUGUUGGCCGGGCGACGGUUGUCCCGGUUUAAGCGUGUAGGCUGGUUUUCCAGGCAAAUCCGGAAAAUCAAGGCUGAGGCGUGAUGACGAGGCACUACGGUGCUGAAGCAACAAAUGCCCUGCUUCCAGGAAAAGCCUCUAAGCAUCAGGUAACAUCAAAUCGUACCCCAAACCGACACAGGUGGUCAGGUAGAGAAUACCAAGGCGCUUGAGAGAACUCGGGUGAAGGAACUAGGCAAAAUGGUGCCGUAACUUCGGGAGAAGGCACGCUGAUAUGUAGGUGAAGUCCCUCGCGGAUGGAGCUGAAAUCAGUCGAAGAUACCAGCUGGCUGCAACUGUUUAUUAAAAACACAGCACUGUGCAAACACGAAAGUGGACGUAUACGGUGUGACGCCUGCCCGGUGCCGGAAGGUUAAUUGAUGGGGUCAGCGCAAGCGAAGCUCUUGAUCGAAGCCCCGGUAAACGGCGGCCGUAACUAUAACGGUCCUAAGGUAGCGAAAUUCCUUGUCGGGUAAGUUCCGACCUGCACGAAUGGCGUAAUGAUGGCCAGGCUGUCUCCACCCGAGACUCAGUGAAAUUGAACUCGCUGUGAAGAUGCAGUGUACCCGCGGCAAGACGGAAAGACCCCGUGAACCUUUACUAUAGCUUGACACUGAACAUUGAGCCUUGAUGUGUAGGAUAGGUGGGAGGCUUUGAAGUGUGGACGCCAGUCUGCAUGGAGCCGACCUUGAAAUACCACCCUUUAAUGUUUGAUGUUCUAACGUGGACCCGUAAUCCGGGUUGCGGACAGUGUCUGGUGGGUAGUUUGACUGGGGCGGUCUCCUCCUAAAGAGUAACGGAGGAGCACGAAGGUUGGCUAAUCCUGGUCGGACAUCAGGAGGUUAGUGCAAUGGCAUAAGCCAGCUUGACUGCGAGCGUGACGGCGCGAGCAGGUGCGAAAGCAGGUCAUAGUGAUCCGGUGGUUCUGAAUGGAAGGGCCAUCGCUCAACGGAUAAAAGGUACUCCGGGGAUAACAGGCUGAUACCGCCCAAGAGUUCAUAUCGACGGCGGUGUUUGGCACCUCGAUGUCGGCUCAUCACAUCCUGGGGCUGAAGUAGGUCCCAAGGGUAUGGCUGUUCGCCAUUUAAAGUGGUACGCGAGCUGGGUUUAGAACGUCGUGAGACAGUUCGGUCCCUAUCUGCCGUGGGCGCUGGAGAACUGAGGGGGGCUGCUCCUAGUACGAGAGGACCGGAGUGGACGCAUCACUGGUGUUCGGGUUGUCAUGCCAAUGGCACUGCCCGGUAGCUAAAUGCGGAAGAGAUAAGUGCUGAAAGCAUCUAAGCACGAAACUUGCCCCGAGAUGAGUUCUCCCUGACUCCUUGAGAGUCCUGAAGGAACGUUGAAGACGACGACGUUGAUAGGCCGGGUGUGUAAGCGCAGCGAUGCGUUGAGCUAACCGGUACUAAUGAACCGUGAGGCUUAACCUU